UACGGAGGGGGCGAGCGUUAUUCGGAAUUAUUGGGCGUAAAGGGCGCGUAGGCGGCUUGACAAGUCAAAGGUGAAAUCCCUCGGCUCAACUGAGGAACUGCCUUUGAAACUGUCUGGCUUGAGGCCGGGAGGGGGUAGCGGAAUUCCCAGUGUAGCGGUGAAAUGCGUAGAUAUUGGGAGGAACACCAGUGGCGAAGGCGGCUCACUGGCCCGGUACUGACGCUGAGGAGCGAAAGCGUGGGGAGCGAACAGG
Molecule: ribosomal RNA, 253 nt
Filed under: uncultured bacterium
Lineage: Bacteria
Description: partial 16S ribosomal RNA
Rfam family: Bacterial small subunit ribosomal RNA
Source: RNAcentral